AGCUUAGUUGGUAAAGGAUCUGCCUGCAAUGCAGGAGACCCUGGUUUGAUUCCUGG
This 56-nucleotide transfer RNA is filed under the name Bos taurus (domestic cattle). It matches the Rfam family "tRNA", at positions 9 to 63 of the family's 71-position model. From Rfam's summary of the family: Transfer RNA (tRNA) molecules are approximately 80 nucleotides in length. Their secondary structure includes four short double-helical elements and three loops (D, anti-codon, and T loops). Further hydrogen bonds mediate the characteristic L-shaped molecular structure. tRNAs have two regions of fundamental functional importance: the anti-codon, which is responsible for specific mRNA codon recognition, and the 3' end, to which the tRNAs corresponding amino acid is attached (by aminoacyl-tRNA synthetases). tRNAs cope with the degeneracy of the genetic code in two manners: having more than one tRNA (with a specific anti-codon) for a particular amino acid; and 'wobble' base-pairing, i.e. permitting non-standard base-pairing at the 3rd anti-codon position. RNAcentral also lists the same sequence under 5 other names. Lineage: Eukaryota; Metazoa; Chordata; Mammalia; Artiodactyla; Bovidae. The record is from Rfam by way of RNAcentral.